AACGAACGCUGGCGGCAUGCCUAACACAUGCAAGUCGAACGAGACCUUCGGGUCUAGUGGCGCAUGGGUGCGUAACGCGUGGGAACCUGCCCUUAGGUUCGGAAUAACUCCCCGAAAGGGGUGCUAAUACCGGAUAAUGUCUUCGGACCAAAGAUUUAUCGCCUUUGGAUGGGCCCGCGUUGGAUUAGCUAGUUGGUAGGGUAAAAGCCUACCAAGGCGACGAUCCAUAGCUGGUCUGAGAGGAUGAUCAGCCACACUGGGACUGAGACACGGCCCAGACUCCUACGGGAGGCAGCAGUGGGGAAUAUUGGACAAUGGGCGAAAGCCUGAUCCAGCAAUGCCGCGGGAGUGAUGAAGGCCUUAGGGUUGUAAAGCUCUUUUACCCGGGAUGAUAAUGACAGUACCGGGAGAAUAAGCUCCGGCUAACUCCGU
Molecule: ribosomal RNA, 432 nt
Filed under: uncultured bacterium
Lineage: Bacteria
Description: partial 16S ribosomal RNA
Rfam family: Bacterial small subunit ribosomal RNA
Source: RNAcentral